This 468-nucleotide ribosomal RNA is filed under the name uncultured bacterium. RNAcentral describes it as "partial 16S ribosomal RNA". It matches the Rfam family "Bacterial small subunit ribosomal RNA", at positions 28 to 507 of the family's 1533-position model. The record is from RNAcentral.
GACGAACGCUGGCGGCGCGCCUAACACAUGCCAGUCGAACGGAGCUGAGAGAAGCUUGCUUUUCUUAGCUUAGUGGCGAACGGGUGAGUAACGCGUGAGUAACCUGCCCUGGAGUGGGGGACAACAGUUGGAAACGACUGCUAAUACCGCAUAAGCCCACGAUCCGGCAUCGGAUUGAGGGAAAAGGAUUUAUUCGCUUCAGGAUGGACUCGCGUCCAAUUAGCUAGUUGGUGAGGUAACGGCCCACCAAGGCGACGAUUGGUAGUCGGACUGAGAGGUUGAACGGCCACAUUGGGACUGAGACACGGCCCAGACUCCUACGGGAGGCAGCAGUGGGGGAUAUUGCACAAUGGGGGAAACCCUGAUGCAGCGACGCCGCGUGGAGGAAGAAGGUUUUCGGAUUGUAAACUCCUGUCGUUAGGGACGAUAAUGACGGUACCUAACAAGAAAGCACCGGCUAACUACGUG